This 253-nucleotide ribosomal RNA is filed under the name uncultured bacterium. RNAcentral's name for it is "partial 16S ribosomal RNA". It matches the Rfam family "Bacterial small subunit ribosomal RNA", at positions 524 to 776 of the family's 1533-position model. The record is from RNAcentral.
UACAGAGGGGGCAAGCGUUGUUCGGAAUUACUGGGCGUAAAGGGCGCGUAGGCGGCCUUCUAAGUCGAACGUGAAAUCCCCGGGCUCAACCCGGGAACUGCGUCCGAUACUGGCAGGCUCGAAUCCGGGAGAGGGAUGUGGAAUUCCAGGUGUAGCGGUGAAAUGCGUAGAUAUCUGGAGGAACACCGGUGGCGAAGGCGGCAUCCUGGACCGGCAUUGACGCUGAGGCGCGAAAGCUAGGGGAGCAAACGGG